This 73-nucleotide transfer RNA is filed under the name Camelus bactrianus (Bactrian camel). It matches the Rfam family "tRNA". Rfam says of the family: Transfer RNA (tRNA) molecules are approximately 80 nucleotides in length. Their secondary structure includes four short double-helical elements and three loops (D, anti-codon, and T loops). The record is from Rfam by way of RNAcentral. RNAcentral also lists the same sequence under 2 other names. Lineage: Eukaryota; Metazoa; Chordata; Mammalia; Artiodactyla; Camelidae.
GAGGGUGUAGCUCAAGUGGUGGGGUGCAUGCCUAGCACGCAUGAGGCCCUGGGUUCAGGCCCCAGCACCUUUU